ACGAACGCUGGCGGCGUGCUUCACACAUGCAAGUCGCACGGAAAGGCCCUGCUUGCCGGGUACUCGAGUGGCGAACGGGUGAGUAACACGUGGGUGAUCUGCCCUGCACUUCGGGAUAAGCUUGGGAAACUGGGUCUAAUACCGGAUAGGAACCAUCUUUAGUGUGGUGGUUGGAAAGUUUUUUCGGUGUAGGAUGAGCUCGCGGCCUAUCAGCUUGUUGGUGGGGUAAUGGCCUACCAAGGCGGCGACGGGUAGCCGGCCUGAGAGGGUGUACGGCCACAUUGGGACUGAGAUACGGCCCAGACUCCUACGGGAGGCAGCAGUGGGGAAUAUUGCACAAUGGGCGCAAGCCUGAUGCAGCGACGCCGCGUGGGGGAUGAAGGCCUUCGGGUUGUAAACUCCUUUCGCUAGGGACGAAGCUUUGUUGUGACGGUACCUAGAGAAGAAGCACCGGCUAACUACGUG
RNAcentral lists this ribosomal RNA (465 nucleotides) under uncultured bacterium. RNAcentral's name for it is "partial 16S ribosomal RNA". It matches the Rfam family "Bacterial small subunit ribosomal RNA", at positions 29 to 507 of the family's 1533-position model. The record is from RNAcentral.